Molecule: ribosomal RNA, 321 nt
Filed under: uncultured bacterium
Lineage: Bacteria
Description: bacterial SSU rRNA
Rfam family: Bacterial small subunit ribosomal RNA
Source: RNAcentral
GAUGAACGCUGGCGGCGUGCUUAACACAUGCAAGUCGAACGAGAAUCAACGGAUUGAGGAUUCGUCCAAAUGAAGUUGAGGAAAGUGGCGGACGGGUGAGUAACGCGUGAGGAACCUGCCUCGGAGUGGGGAAUAACAGUUGGAAACAGCUGCUAAUACCGCAUAAUGCAACGGAAUCGCAUGACUCUGUUGCCAAAGAUUUAUCGCUCUGAGAUGGCCUCGCGUCUGAUUAGCUAGUUGGCGGGUAACGCCCACAAGGCGACGAUCAGUAGCCGGACUGGGAGGUUGGCCGGCCACAUUGGGACUGGAGACACGGCCCAG